This 152-nucleotide ribosomal RNA is filed under the name uncultured Moraxellaceae bacterium. Its description in RNAcentral is "partial 16S ribosomal RNA". It matches the Rfam family "Bacterial small subunit ribosomal RNA", at positions 657 to 805 of the family's 1533-position model. Lineage: Bacteria; Pseudomonadati; Pseudomonadota; Gammaproteobacteria; Moraxellales; Moraxellaceae. The record is from RNAcentral.
UGAGGUAGAAUUCCAGGUGUAGCGGUGAAAUGCGUAGAGAUCUGAAGGAAUACCGAUGGCGAAGGCAGCUUCCUGGCAUCAUACUGACACUGAGGUUCGAAAGCGUGGGUAGCAAACAGGAUUAGAUACCCGUGUAGUCCAAAAAACAGUAA